Molecule: long non-coding RNA, 712 nt
Filed under: Chrysemys picta bellii (western painted turtle)
Lineage: Eukaryota; Metazoa; Chordata; Testudines; Emydidae
Description: lncRNA (ENSCPBG00000025133.1)
Source: RNAcentral
GCUGUAUCUAUAUUUAUGCUGCAUCUACUUCUAGACUGUGCUGGACAAGACGUCAGUCACAGAGGGAGGGUUGUGUCCGACCGAUUGGCUCAGCUCCGGUGUGAUGGACAACCCAGACCUUCUACUGUGCCUGGUGAUGCGCACAGGAGGAACACGGAUCAAAUCAAUUGCUGGACCAGAAUCCCCCAAUCUCAGGUAAGUAGGGGUGUGAGUUGAUUUGUUGCCUCUCGGAGACUGCUCACGAUGACCGAUGGCGGACACGGGCUGCCACCAUGAUGGACAGCACCCUAUAGCCUGUGAAAGGAGCUUAUACUCUCUUGUCUCUGGACAGAAUUGCCAGAUCACGUGACUGAUCUUUUCCCACCUUACAGAAAAAAUUGCACCAGAAACCCAACAAGAAGGGAGACCAACAUGGCUCCGAAACAACAAGAUUACAGAAUUCAAAAUGGAGAUUGUGAACAAGUUUUUAAAAUGAUACCAUAACACAAUAUAUGGUUAGAAUACAUAUAACAGUUUUCUCAUACAGUCUGGGCCAGCAUAAGAAAGAAAAACAUGAGGCUCCUUCAGGGAUUGCUCCCACUUCUUCCCACUCUUCCUGACUGCUGAAUGCUGUCAUUGAAAUCUAUCCAUGUAGACAGAUGGAUGUAAUGAUGUUUGAUUUUUGGUAGGGCAGAAAACAGAAAAGAAAAAUAAAUCAAAGGCAAGAUGGUCA